GACCCAAUGCCGGAAGUAGCUUAUCGUAGAGGAACUUCGAUCAUGGCCACCAAAACAGACGGGGCGACUGAGAGACCGAGUUAUAACCGACAGCGAAGUAACAGCGAUCCACAGCCGGCAGUUGAUGUUCUAAACGCUCUAAACACUGACAAAGCCGACGCCAGCUGGAGCACCAACACAAUUGGCCGAACUGAGAAUUCACGGAGAAAUGGCGAGCUAAAGUCAGGAUCACUAGGAACUAAUACUCCACCACCUGAAAGAAAAAGCAGCAAGUUUGCAGCUCUAGGUAAAAUAUUCAAGCCAUGGAAAUGGCGGCGAAAGAAAAAGAGCGAAAAGAUAGAAAAGACAGCAGUAGAUUUAGAGAGAAAAAUAUCUAUGCGAACAAGUCGAGAGGAGUUAAUACGUAAAGGAGUGUUACGGGAGCCGGAGGAGAGCCAGCAGAACCAUGUACCAAAGAUAGAGUCUGUGAAGGAAUCUGCCGAAGAGGAGACGGUUGAUGAUACAACUGAGGGGAGGUCAAAACAGGACAUCAGUGUCGACGGAUCGUCUACUGUUACCACGACAACCACAUCCAGUGGACUAGCUGCAGACGUUGUUGCAUCAACACAGCCAGCAGCAUCAUCCACAUCCUCCACCAUCACCACCCAGGCAGAAAUAACGCCCACAAGUAUUAAUCCCACAGUAUCGUCCUCUGCUAGCGUGCGGCCAGUCGUGGUGCCCCCUCCAGUGGUGCCACCCAUGGAGUUGAUGCAGCCACCUCCUCCCACCUAUCCCCCCUCUGCGGAUGCACAGAACUCCCUGGUCAGCUUCAAUGACAGGGUCACACAGAUAAUUCCUGCCCCUAUAGAUGAUGACGAUGAGGAGGAGGAACCGGAGGAGCCCAACAGCGGCCCACCAGCAUAUGAAACCAUCCCAGCCUCUGAACCUGAUCUCUCUCUACGACCCAGCAAAAGUGCUCUCAAACUCAAAAACGGCCAGGCUCCCCCAAUCCCAGCACCCAAACCGAUCUCACAUCAAAAGACGUCAAGCUUAGCGCGGCCAAUGAACACUUCUACUGCAGGCAUUUCAGGAGAGCCAAAAAUAUCACCACUCCCUACUCCGAUGGGAAAACCCGGGGCUCUGAAAGCCCAUGUCACCAUAGCAGCUGAUGAAAGUGACAAGGAAAACAUCCCUGUCAUGUCACAGUCGCAUCAGGCGGCGUCAGCAGCGGCAGCAGCAGCAGCAUUGGCGGCAGCAGCAGCAGUGCAUCAACAGGGGGACUACGACAACAUCCCUGGUGACUCGGACUCGUCUGAUGAGGAAAUCCACUAUAAGGAUGAUGACUGUCCCAGUGGGUUGGCUGCCAAGGUAGCGAGGCAAGACAGCCUUGCACGUUUCCUCAACAACAGACCAUCAAGGAGAGAGCUCAUUGAGAAAAAUAUCAUACCGAACAAGUCUGCGAAUGAAAAACAAACAGACAGAGAAGCCAUCGGAUCAAAAUUGACAAGGCGGUUGAGUUUACGACCCACGCCAGAGGAGUUAGAACAGAGAAAUAUUUUAUACAAUCAGACGAAUGAGGAACGAGAGUUGGACAAGGAAGAAAAGAAGAGGUAUCUCAUCAGAAAGCUGAGCUUCCGACCAAGCAUCGAGGAGCUGAAGGAAAGAAAGAUUAUCAAGUUCAAUGACUAUGUUGAAGUGACAGAUGCAGAAAUGUACGACCGUCGAGCAGACAAACCCUGGACCAGACUAACACCUAAAGAUAAGGCGGCAAUACGGAAGGAGCUCAAUGAGUUCAAGAGUAAAGAAAUGGAGGUCCACGAGGAGAGCAAGCACCUCACAAGAUUUCACAGACCUUGAUGCCAUAAACUCUAUGCAGGACUACACUUGAACCUAUGUAAGGAGCUUGCAAUAUAUCUAUCCAAUCAGCAAGCCGCCUGCAAACACAUGACUGUUCAGAGUUACCUCCCUGUGCAGGCCAUGAGCCUAUGUGAUACAAGUCUAUGUAUUCAUGGAGACUGGAUAUCUACAGAUUUUCAUAACAAAUGACGUUUUUACAUGAGUGAGUUUCUAUUAGGGUCUUGAAUGUUGGAAUGUAUCAUCUAGUGCUAGAAGCCCAGGAAUGUUCAGUGUUGGGAAGUGUUACUGGUUGACCCUCCUGUGCUGGACACCUCACUUCCUGGACGCGCAGGCUUCAUACAUACAUGGUGCAUUGAUGGAAGUGUGUGUGUGCAAUUAUUCACAUAUGUGAGGGCGGGUGCUCGGCAGAUAUCUUUACUUCAGUUGACGGACAGGAACUUGAAAAAGAGCUUCUUGCUGUAUACGAUCUCGUAGACAAGAUGUCGGCCAUUGCUGUGGAUGAUCACGUCUGGUUACGCCACGACCACUCUCACGGAGUUGGAUGUUGACCAGCAUCGCCGGUGCUAUCACGUCCAACAUUGACGUUGCUAACCAGUAACCAUCGUAACCGUGCUGAAGGCAGGGAUCACAUCAGACAGUCACCAGUAUCGUAUUGGGACUUAUUUUUCAACCUUUUUGAAUUUUUUUUUUUUUUUCAGUACCUCAUGUUGCAGCAGAUAAUAUUUUGUGUAAAGUUUUGAAACCUGUCUGGCAACAACUAAGCUAUUUGCUGUAGCAAACAGUAUGUGCAACUGCCUGUAUUGAAGUCCAAUAAUUUGAUUUGACUGAGAAUAUGACAACACAUUCCCAUAUUGGGCAGCAGUGGAGUGAUAUGUCAGUGUGUAAUGAAGUUGAUAUGAGUUACCUCCCCUGAUAACAUUCAUUAACUGUUUGAUUUCCUGCUCACGUCAGUGGUGCUGUCACAUGUCCUGGCUAAAUUCUACAGAUGGAACUUGUAACAGUUAAGUUUAAGUUUAAUAGUUUGUUUGCAGAUUUCAUCCAUUGCUUCAGUACAGCUGUGUGAGUACUGAUCUAGCGCUGUGCGGCUUGCUGUAAGACAGUACUAAGCGAUAAAUCACUGUGCCACUUGCAGUUAGGCAAUACUAAGUGAUAAAUCACAGUGCUGCUUGCUGUGACAGUACUAAGCGAACAUCACUGCUUGCUGUAAGGCAGUACUAAGCGAUACAUCACUGCGCUGCUUGCUGUAUAGCAGUACUAAACGAUACAUCACUGCGCUGCUUGCUGUAAGGCAGUACUAAGCAAUACAUUGCUGUACUAAACUGAGACGUCUCAGGGCAAAAUCAUCAUUUUUCACAUCACAUUGGAGUUGGUAGUGAAAAGUCUGUGCACAUUCAAGAUAGAAGCAACUUGCAACUGUAAUUUUGAAUACACUAAUCUACAGACUGUUCAUAUUUACAGAAGUUUUUUUUCAUUUUUGCCAAGUCCGAUGUAUUUUACUGUGAUUGACAAGACUUCCUGCUUUGCUCAUAGAACUACGUGAAGAAGAAAGUAGUUCUGUCUCUUUUGUGACAGUACAAUAGGAUUUUUGUCUGACUUGUCGCUUAUCUUGCUGUAUAAUAAAAUAUUAUAACCAACACAGUUGUACGGACAUUAUCAUGUUGGAGCACAACUUACACAAUGAUCCUGUCUGUGGGAUUCAUUCAGUGUUAUACGGGACAGGCAGGAUAGUUGCAUUAAUGUCUCUUUCCAAACCAGAUGGUUCUCUUAACAUCUAUCAAAAACAUUUUUCAUUAAUUUACAUUUUUUUAGAGAAUGUUGUCACCAUCUUAUGAUGUGCUUCUUUCAGUCUGCUAUCUGGAGAGCUACCAGUGUUAAUCAAGAAUAGGAUCAUACUUCUCAACUGAGAAUAGCAUUGCUCUUCUCAAACGAGAAUAGCAUCUCACUUCUCAACCGAGAAUAGCAUUGCACUUCUCAACCGAGAAUAGCAUCGCUCUUCUCAACCGAGAAUAGCAUCGCACUUCUCAACCGAGAAUAGCAUUGCUCUUCUCAACCGAGAAUAGCAUCGCACUUCUCAACCGAGAAUAGCAUCGCAUUUCUCGUGUUCCAUUGCUCCAAGUGCUUUCCCUGAUCAUGUGCAAAACUAUGUUGUUUUUAUUUGAUGAACGUGGUGUACUGUUUCAUAAGUUUCAACCUUUUGAUCACUUUUUUUUCUAAAAAUGUACUUGUUUAGCGAUAAAACAAAACUCUAAAAAACAAAAAGUUGACCACUGUCCCAGGAAACCCUUAACAAAAGUCAACAAUUAGAAAAACAUAUCACUUGGCAUGUUCAUGUCAUUGCCGCCAUACUUCUACUUGUUCCCAGGAAACUAUCUAUUAUAUGUGUAUAUAUAUAGCUGUACUUAUUUUAACUGUUUAAUAUAUGUCAUAAAAUGGCACAUCCGUGAAUUAAAUGUUUUUUAGAUGGUACCUAUUUUGUUUAACUUCGUCAGGAAUUUUACUUUCUGAUAGCCACCUGAUGGUGAACGCUUGCAUUUGCCUAACAGCUGCUCACGCCAGUCUGUGUACAUCUGUCCGCCAUGACAAUCAAGAGUUUUCUUUCAUAGAUUGAAGAACUGUUUGUAACAAGAAUUGAGGAUGAAAUGUGUCUACUGCAGCGUAGGUUUGUAAAAGGUGCACUGCAGGUUGCAAGAAAAGGACUUCAUUUUCAGUAGCUGUUUUUCUUUAGUGUUAUGUCACUGUUGUCAUCGAGUGGAAGUCAUUAAGUGGUGGCACACUGUCAGAUAAACAUUGUCUUGGUGUAAUAACACGAUGUCACAUGGUCGCAUCCAGUGUUGCUGUACCACUCCUUGUCUGCAUGUCCUGUGUAAAUACAUCACGCUACUGUACACUACAGCAGUCUGUGACAAAAGCUUUAGUCUACCAGCCCAGACCUGACAUCAGUUUCAGUAGCUCUUGGUGUUAAUGUAUGGACUUCUAUUACCAAAGUACUAGACUGAAAACCAGUUUACUAGAUUCGGGCUACGGACUUGUGGCUGAAGUCACAGACUGCUGCAGCUCAGUUUGUGUGUCCCUGUGUAAACAAAUCACUACUAUUCACUAUAUCCCUAUCAGGAGUAUGCGCAGCCCUACUAAUAGCCUGUGGUACAACCGAUCUGCAAUAUGAGUAAGCACUCCAAGUCUGCAUGUAACAGAGGAGCUCUCAACAGUGACCUCAGAUUGUCUUAAGAGGCUGUAUAGAGAAACUUGUUCCUAUCUUAAUUCUUUCACAAUGUGUGUCGUGUGUGACCUGUGUACAUGUUAAGAUGUGUGUCGUGUGUGACUUUGUAAUUUUAUACACUGUACAUAACAUGACUUGAUCACUGCUUGCCCAUCUGUCCAUCCCUUAAACACAUUUCAGGGUACCGUAGUACAAAGUGAUCUCAGCGCUAAGGUGAACAUAACACCAAUACCUUAACAGACUUAAGACAGUCGUGGCGCUAAGGUUUUGUACAAUGGCACCCAGGCCUUUGUUCUGUCCCUGCCAACAGGGUCACUACAGGCCUUUGUUUUGACCCUGCUGACUCGGUCCCAACAGGCCUUUGUUCCAACAGGCCUUUGUUCUGUCCCUGACAACAGGGUCCCUACAAAGCUGUAAGUGCAGAAUCUGCAUAAGAUGAUAACUUCAGAUUUUGAGGGGUCAACAAUCUGAAGUCAUUAUCUUGACCAGUUUCAGAUAGCUCUGGCUCGUUACCAUCAAACCAAUGCAAGUCCUCAUGCAGGACUCAAUAUAUUCAUACAUUUUUUUACCACAUUUUUAAUUUCAGUGCCAAGUCUAUGUUGAAAUUUUAAGUGUUGACAUGUCUAGUACAAGUUUGAAAUGAGGAAGGCAUUACACGAGUUAAGGAAGUGAAUUGUUGCUGCAGUGCUUCUCCCGAGUCUCAAGAUGUUCGUUGUAUAUCACGUGCUCAUGGGGACAUAUGUACAUGAUAUGAAUAACACGGUGGAUCACACUAUAUGUAUAUAUUUUUGUAUGUAGAGGAUACCGCCACCAUUGUAAACUAUGUAAUUAUAAUGCUAUAACUAUGGUGAAAGCUUUUCUACCUGAUGUGUAUGGUUGUAACCAUUUCUAACAUUUCUGUGGAAACCUCUUACCCAUAAUGCAUUGCCAACUGGCUAUAGGGGAAAGCCACUGUACUGUGUGUGAGCAUUGUACAUAGGAGUCGGGAUUGCCAAGUGCUGUGCCUCGAAAAGGUGGAAUAAAAUGCAGCUACAACAA
RNAcentral lists this unclassified non-coding RNA (6091 nucleotides) under Haliotis rufescens (red abalone). RNAcentral describes it as "phosphatase and actin regulator 4-like, transcript variant X2". The record is from RNAcentral. Lineage: Eukaryota; Metazoa; Mollusca; Gastropoda; Lepetellida; Haliotidae.